This 1881-nucleotide unclassified non-coding RNA is filed under the name Thrips palmi. Its description in RNAcentral is "lipase 3-like, transcript variant X1". The record is from RNAcentral. Lineage: Eukaryota; Metazoa; Arthropoda; Insecta; Thysanoptera; Thripidae.
UGCUGCGGAGGGUGCGCUCGGGGCUGACCACCGCCGUCGUCACCACGCCCGUCAGAGUGGCGUCCGGCGUCGUCGCCCGCGCCGUCAUGGUCAUCCUGGACACGCUGCUGCGGCUGAUGCCCGCCGUCGACGACACCGUCACGUCGUCCUCCAUCAUGCGCGGCUUCGGCUACGCCAUGGAGACGCACUUCGUGACGACGCAGGACGGCUACCGACUGUGCCUGGAGCGCGCCGCCAACCCGGGCCGGCAGCCCGUCUUCGUGGCGCACGGCAUGCAGACGGGCUCCCCCGCCUUCGUGAUGCUGGGUCGCGGCAAGGCCCUGGUGCCCAUGCUCCACGACGCGGGCUUCGACGUGUGGAUGAUCAACUUCCGCGGCACCCACUACUCGCAGGGGCACAACAAGUACAGCACGCAGGACGAGGAGUUUUGGAACUUCAGCUGGCACGAGCACGGCGUGUUCGACAACCCGGCCGCCAUCGACUACGUGUUGGCGCGGACCCGCUUCCCGUCCGUCAUGUACGCGGGCCACUCCAUGGGCUCCACGUCCUUCAUGGUGAUGGCGGCGGUGCGGCCCGAGUACCAGCGCAAGGUGCGCGCCGCCUUCCUCUUGGCGCCGGCCGGGCCGCUGCACCGCCACACCAGCCCCGUGGUCGGCCUGCUGUACGCCCUCAACAACGUGACGCAGCCCCUGGUGGAGACCCUGGGCCUGCGCCGCACCAUGCUGCCCACGUACCGCGUGCUCCGGCGCGCCAUCAAACUGCUCCUGCCCGUGGCGAGACCCUUCCUCUACAUGUUCACCUACGCCAUCGUGGGCUACAAGCACAACGAGAGCUACUACGAGACGCCACACUUCUGGGACACCAUCCCGAGCGGCGGCUCCUGGGGCGAGGUCUUCCACUACGUGCAGAACGCCAACUACGACUCCCAGGGCUUCCGGCAGUACGACCACGGCCCCAAGAGGAACCGCGAGCUGUACGGCACGCCGGAGCCCCCGCAAUACAACCUCACCGCCAUCCGGACGCCCGUGUACAUCUACCUCGCCAAGAACGACAUCCUGUGUCAGAAGGAGGACAUGCUCUACGUGCAGUCCCGCUUGCCAAACGUGGUGGGCGUGCACGUGGACGAGGACGACACUUUCAACCACAUAGACUUCUUCGCCUCCCCGACGGUCAGCGGCCGCAUGAACAGCCGCAUCGUCGCCGACAUGCUGCGGCACUCGGCCGAGUUCGCCGAUAAGGAUAACAAGGUGUGACUCAGGCGCACCUGGGCGACGAGGGGCAACACCUGGAGCACUCCUUCCUGAUUAGUCGAACUGUCACCGAGUUCCAUCAAAGUGUGAUCGAACCAAACAUCAGAUCACAUCUUCAUGAGAAAAGCGCGCUGGUGCUUUCCUUCAGCCUGACCGCGUGGCCGCGGCCGCCAACAGCACCAUCCCGACGGUAGCCCAGAGCCCCGGCGUCGCCGUGACCCCCGCACUCGACGAGCGCCCCGGGUCCAGCAUCAUGGCGGUCACGUCGUCCCAGAAGGCCAUGCGGUCCUGCGCGCCGAACGUGUUCUCGACGCGCACCUCGCGGAAGUCCCUGCCGAUGUACAGGUACGGCGGUCGCUGGCGGCGACCAGGCUGCGCGACGUCGGCGCCCUCCAGGAGUGGAACACGCCUGCGAGAGCAACGAGACAUUGCCAAAGACGCUAAAACGCAACCCUAGUCCGUAAGCACGUUUUUCUACAGUCAUUGUUAAAUUAUUGUUGUGAGCGUAAUAAAAUUUGUUUUUAAAACACCGCGUGACGGUGCAGCGGUGAUGGAAUGUGAAUGAGUGUUUACGCGUGACGGUGCAGCGAUGAUGGAAGGUGAAUGAGAUAACAUUGUUUGGUUUUCAAAU